RNAcentral lists this long non-coding RNA (577 nucleotides) under Drosophila guanche. The record is from RNAcentral. Lineage: Eukaryota; Metazoa; Arthropoda; Insecta; Diptera; Drosophilidae.
UGAUAGAGAACUUGUCGUCGUGCGGUCGUCUGCACUUUGUAUUCCAGGAUAAAUUGUAUGAAUUGCGGUUAAAAUUGAAGCUUGUAUGUAUUUUCAGUCUCAGAAUCAAAAAAGCCAUGCGGUUGAAGAGCAUGCGUACAAGUAAAUGGUUGAAUGGUUGGAUGGAUGGUUAAUGCUUGGAUCCUGCCUAGUUAUUUUUCCUCUAUCUCGACAACGAUUAAAAGACAUAACAACCAACAAAAAUGCACUCCCAAGUGUCGUUUAUCCCACCGGUUGCUAUGGGCAAACGAUUUCCUUAUAGAACUCAACUUUUAUUCAUAAUUAUAACACAAUAAGACGGUAAAGUGAUAAUUGUUCCUGUCUAUGUUUUUCACACAAUUUUCCUGGGGAUAUGGAAAUAGAACGAGAAGGGACGUGUGAGACGCUUCUUACGCGUCAUAACUUUUAUACCCGGCACUCAGUACUACUUCUGCACCUUUGCGGUGUUUUGUCAAACUUAACAUUUUUUCUUCAUCUGUCAUCUACAUCUACAACACAUCUCACACCAACACGCUCCUUAAGCUCGUCCCCUUCCCAC